GAUUCUGGCUCAGGAUGAACGCUAGCGACAGGCUUAACACAUGCAAGUCGAGGGGCAGCACGGGAGUAGCAAUACUUGGUGGCGACCGGCGCACGGGUGAGUAACGCGUAUGCAACCUACCUAUCAGGAGGGGAACUAACCCGGCGAAAGUCGGACUAAUACCGCAUAAAACAGGGGCACCGCAUGGUGAUAUUUGUUAAAGAAAUUCGCUGAUAGAUGGGCAUGCGUUCCAUUAGGUAGUUGGUGAGGUAACGGCUCACCAAGCCGACGAUGGAUAGGGGAACUGAGAGGUUGGUCCCCCACACUGGUACUGAGACACGGACCAGACUCCUACGGGAGGCAGCAGUGAGGAAUAUUGGUCAAUGGGCGGAAGCCUGAACCAGCCAAUGCCGCGUGCAGGAUGACGGCCCUACGGGUUGUAAACUGCUUUUCCCCGGGAAGAAUAAGCCCCUCGUGAGGGGUGAUGCCGGUACCGGGGGAAUAAGGAUCGGCUAACUCCGUGCCAGCCGCCGC
RNAcentral lists this ribosomal RNA (513 nucleotides) under uncultured bacterium. Its description in RNAcentral is "bacterial SSU rRNA". It matches the Rfam family "Bacterial small subunit ribosomal RNA", at positions 15 to 518 of the family's 1533-position model. The record is from RNAcentral.